ACAUGCUUGUGCAGGACCACAGGCCACUGGCUGGUGGAGGGUGCAGGCUUGCGGUGCAGCUGUUUGUCUGCGCGUAUCUGGCAUGGCCUCCCUUUCCCCUGCAUCUGGUCCCCAUUAGCCAAAGUGGAGAGUAUAAAGAAGGGAGCUGACGCAGAGCAGCAGCAGUAGUCUGGUUCCUGCCCUGGAUCAUGGGGUUUACUAUCUGGCUUUGUGUGCUGUGCCUACAGGCCAGCCUGCUCUCACACGCCCUGGACUGUUCUGAAACCAGCCGAGGAGAGACGUGUGUCAGCAGACACGCCGCAGACAACCAGAAUGACGAUCAGAGGCAACAGAGAACACUCUCCCUAACUAAAGAACUGGCCGACAGGUCCAGGAGACACUUGAGUCAGGUUGCGAGUAAGAAGAAGAACAAACGUAAACCCAGAGUCGGCUCUUUUUCACUCCUUAGCAACGACAAGAAGUCCAACCCCCUACAGUUCAGGUUGACCAGAGCGAAGCGGCAAGUGAAGCUUGAUCCUCCCAAAAGGGGAAACUCUGGUCGCUCUGGUGCGUUUUCCGUCCUGGGCGAUCCUACAAUCGAUGCACAGAAGGACAGACCAAAGAGGAGCAUUUAGAGCAGGAGUGUCAAACUCAUUUUAGUUCAGGGGCCAAAUACGGACCAGUUUGAUCACAAAGUGAGCUGCAGAUUUUAGGAGGGAAAAAGAGCAAAUUCAACAUUAAUGUGCCCUGGUUUGCACUUUUACAUAUAAAUUAUACAAGUAUAUCAGUCCCUGCCAAAUUUCUACUUAAAAUUUCCCUGAUUUGGGGAAUUUGGGGAAAUUUUGUGGAAUAAUUUUUGAAAAAUUUGCCAGAUUAUGGAAAAAUUAAGAGUUCUUUCAACAAAAUGAGAUUAAAAAUGGCCACGGUCAUGUGAUUUUAAUUGAAUCUUUUCAUUUGGAGGGGCUGAGAUAUCUACACCUGAAUUAGGCCAAAUUUGAUGCUCUAAAGGGCCGGGUUUGGCCCCCGAGCCUUGAGUUUGACACUUGAUUUAAAGGAUGAUUGUCCAUUUAUUAUACAAAAAAAAACAUUUAUUUGUGAUUUAAAAAAAAUCUAAUUUGUCAAAUAUUUUUGCUUAAUCAUUUUUGUGUAUGUUCUAAGCUAUAGCUUAUCUUUUUAUCAACCAGCACACAUAUACUGUAUGAAGUAUGUUUGCCUGUAUUUCUAUUUCCAUAAUAUUUCUGCAUGUUGUCACAACACGAAAGAUCCCGUAUUAUUUUACAGUUUGCCAGGUUUGUUAUUUAAUCACAGAUACUUUAUAAAAGAGUAAGGAGGUUUUAUUUUUGCAGAAAUGUUUCCUGUGUUGUCAAAUUUUAAUAAAAGUUUUUAAGGCGUG
Molecule: long non-coding RNA, 1372 nt
Filed under: Gouania willdenowi (blunt-snouted clingfish)
Lineage: Eukaryota; Metazoa; Chordata; Actinopteri; Blenniiformes; Gobiesocidae
Description: lncRNA (ENSGWIG00000012118.1)
Source: RNAcentral